CUACGGGAGGCAGCAGUGGGGAAUAUUGCGCAAUGGGGGAAACCCUGACGCAGCAACGCCGCGUGCGGGACGAAGGCUCUCGGGUCGUAAACCGCUUUCAGGAGGGAAGAAAAUGACGGUACCUCCAGAAGAAGCCCCGGCCAACUACGUGCCAGCAGCCGCGGUAACACGUAGGGGGCGAGCGUUGUCCGGAUUUAUUGGGCGUAAAGAGCUCGUAGGCGGCUUGGUAAGUCGGGUGUGAAACCUCCAGGCUCAACCUGGAGACGCCACUCGAUACUGCUAUGGCUAGAGUCCGGUAGGGGGGAGUGGAAUUCCUGGUGUAGCGGUGAAAUGCGCAGAUAUCAGGAGGAACACCAGCGGCGAAGGCGGCGCUCUGGGCCGGAACUGACGCUGAGGAGCGAAAGCAUGGGGAGCGAACAGGAUUAGAUACCCCAGUAGUCC
This 441-nucleotide ribosomal RNA is filed under the name uncultured bacterium. RNAcentral's name for it is "bacterial SSU rRNA". It matches the Rfam family "Bacterial small subunit ribosomal RNA", at positions 339 to 796 of the family's 1533-position model. The record is from RNAcentral.